This 1105-nucleotide long non-coding RNA is filed under the name Sinocyclocheilus anshuiensis. RNAcentral describes it as "lncRNA (ENSSANG00000007498.1)". Lineage: Eukaryota; Metazoa; Chordata; Actinopteri; Cypriniformes; Cyprinidae. The record is from RNAcentral.
UACUUUAACUUUACUUUUAUUUAACUGCGGCGGUUCUUUUUCUGAGAACAACCAUAACAAACUUCUCAAAUCGAAGUUUUUUUACCUCAGAUUUGUCGUCGGUUUGAAAGCGGACUCGUCGAGCUGUUAAUCUGCAGAACGGGUCGAGCACGAUGGGCCCGUGAAUUAAAAAAAAAAAAAAAAAAAAAAGCCCACAGCCACCACCGUUAUAUAUCCAAUGUGAAUAAGAGUAAACAGUGUGUUAUUUUGUGCUGAUAUUAGAUAGGUCAGCGGCUGCUGUCUGGCUCUUGUGUAACGGUCGGUGCGCGCGCUCUCGUGUGUGUGUGUGUGUGUGUGUGUGUGUGUGUGUGUGUGUGUGUGUGUGUGUGUGUGUGAAUCAUAGUUCACCUUAGUUGAACUUGUGUGAUCUAGUUCACGGUAGUGUGAGGCUGUUGGUCCGAUCCGGUGGCUGUUGGGAGGAUGAACAUCUCUUCUUGAUCAUUAGAAAAAAACAAACUAACGUUACCCUUAAAAGACGCAGUGUGUCGUCAUGUUUUUUGUGUAGAUGAGAAGGCUUUGAUAGUUUGCUCGCAGACAGACUGUAUUAACGGUUGUGUCGUCAUGUUUUUUGUGUAACGUUAGAUGAGAAGGUUUUGAUGGUUUGCUCGCAGACAGACUGUAUUAACGGCCGUGUGUUAAUCUCGUUAAAGUGUCCGCACGACAGAAAAUUUCAGUCUGAACUUGAAUAAUAAAAACGGUCGUCGUGGUUUAACUUACCCAACGACUCCCGUCAAGUUUCUUUUGUUUGUUUUGCCGUUGGCCGUUUCUAACAACAGCUAAAGGAGCACGAAUGAGCCAGAUGAAGCUACGAACCGGAUGAAACGUAAAUAAUUGGGGCUUGAAAUGGCGAAAAUAUUUCGGACUCAACCCAGAGAUGGAACGUACGUCCACCUUUUAUCUGCUAUAUACCUUCUGAGAGAGAAGGAGACAUUCAGAAUGCAGAUGAUGUCAGCACUUCAAAAACAACUGGAAAAAAAAGAAAGAAAAGAAAAAGGUCAUCAAUCAUUUCAGGAAUCUGUUUCCAGUUGUCUUAAUGUUGUCACUCAGCACUGGAGUUAUCUUGCCA